UUACGAUUACUUGUUUUACAACUUUGUUUUCACUAUCUUUUAAAAACCAUAAUACUAAAAAGACUGAAAUUUUGCAGAAUUUGUUUCAAGUAGUUGAAACAAUGUAUCAAGUUGUAUUUAUGUUAUACUCAAAAAAAAAUCUGUAGUUUUACUUACACUGCAAUCGUAAGCAAAUGAGUGAAAAGAAUUGACCAAGCAAUCAUCAAAGGCAGCAUUGUUUUGACAAGUAGAUUGGUCUACGUAAGUCAUAUUUUCUUUAAUAGAAUCAUCAAAACUAUUACAAUAAUACUUGCAACAUUCAUUUUCUAUGCAUGGCUCGAUAAAAUUCUGCAAAAGGUUAUAAAAAAUAUUAAUUAACUGAAAAAAGUCAGAACGACAAUUUUAUUUAUAAAUGAAUUCGCUGUUAACUUAAAUAAUAGAAGCAUUUCUUAUUUUAAAUUUAAAAGCGUGAUCAUCUUUGUCUACGGAAUGAUUAGACAUUUGAACAUCUGUGUCCAUGUCUUCAAUACUCCAACCCUGUAAAUAUUUUAUAACAAAUUAGUUGGUAUUUUUAAACUUCUAUAUUUCUUUCAUAUUUGGCGAAUGCAUAUUUGCAAAUUAUAAACAUGUCAUAAAAUAAUUAAAACCAGGAUUCCAAAGCACAAGUUAUAAUUUUGAAUAUUAUUUAUUUUGAAUAUUAGUUUUAUGCUUACUCGUGGUUUAGUGUCUGUACAUGUUUCAUCAUUUGAAUUAGGCAAUGGAACUGUAACAUGAUUUGUACCAGCGUCACCAGUGUGUCUGUUUUCCAAAUUCUUGCAAAAAGGUAGGUAAAGAUUGAUUGACGAAUUAAAAAAUUACGAUAUUUUUACAUUAAUUAAAUUAUUUAUCAUAAUAAUUGAUCAAUUUUCAAAAUAAAAAUCAAGUUUUUGUAGGUUAGAAUCCCGUUGUAAAUACUUAAUAGUAAAAAUAUUUUAAUUAUAUAAUUACAAUAAUAAAUAAUGUAUCUUACUUGAUUGAUAACUUUUUUUUUGCGUUUAGCAAGUUCAGCUUUUAUACUACGACUUAAAUGCCACUUACUUCCAUGAUCUUCUAUACUUUUUUCGAUUCAUACUUGCGAAUAUACGAAUAAAUAUUUCACAUUUAUUACGAAAUACAACUAAACUGCAUUGCGUUGCACACUGCACAGAGCUCAAAAUACGUAUAAUUUAUGCUUAGCAUUAUGCUUUUUAUAAAGCAAAUAUUCUACUUCUUGGAGGUUAGUUUUCCCUAAAUAAAAUACAAAUAUUUGUAAUAUAUUCUAUAUUUAUAGCAAUAUUUGAAACUAAGAUGGUAUUUCUUUUAUUUUUAUUGUAGUUACUUCUGAAGACGUACGUAAUAAGUUAAAAGCAAGAAGCGUUGCUUUUAGAAACCAGAAGUACACACAAGAAAUCGGUAACUCAUCUACACCCCCGUGUCAUGAUAGCAAGGGUAGUAGUGGCUCAGAUUCUUCAGACAAAAAUAGUGAGGAUGGUUCACCACCAGUUAAGUCACGCAAGAAAAUUAUAAGUCAAGUUCAAGAAAGGCUAAAAGAGGAAAUUCUGGAAAAAAAGAAAUUACAACUACUUUUGGCGCAAAGAAGACCCUUAGAUUAUGCUGAAAUUCACCCAAUAGACGACGCAGGAAUAAGUGAUGCUAAAUUAGACAUUGUGCCACAAGGUCAAAAUAGGAUACAACGUGCAUGUUUGCCAAAAAGAACAGUUUCACGUCAGACACAUGAUGAAACAAGGACAAGCACUCCUGAACGUACAACUUUAUUUGCUAAAUAGGGUUUACGACACUUAUUUAGAUCUGAAUAAUUACAAAGGAUAAAAAAAAAGGCUAAGAAGAAGGUCAGGAAAAUAUUACAAACAAAAAUCCAGGAUUUAAGAAAAAUCAUUGACUUAAUCAAUAGGUUACACCAAGAAAAUCACAACCGAACAUACUUAACAAGACUUUCAUCACCUUAAAAAGAUGAUAUUUAUAAAACAUUAAUGUAACUUUAGAAUGUGAUCUUUUUCUUAAUUCUCAUUAACAUUUGCAUGUACAAUUAUUUUUAUAUCCCUAGUGGAAAUUUUGUCAUUAGAUAUGAUCUCAAAAGAGUACUGAUAAAAUCAGAAUACUGAUAAGAAAUGUGAUAUCACCUAUAUUUUUUGUAUUAAUAAAAAAAAAGUGUUGUACAGCUUGUAAGCUUAAA
This 2191-nucleotide long non-coding RNA is filed under the name Nasonia vitripennis (jewel wasp). Its description in RNAcentral is "uncharacterized LOC116417396, transcript variant X1". The record is from RNAcentral. Lineage: Eukaryota; Metazoa; Arthropoda; Insecta; Hymenoptera; Pteromalidae.